ACGAGGCAGUGCUGAACACGCAGAAGUCAGCAAAGGUCAUAGUAGCCAAACGGAACAAGUUCCGUUCGAGGUGAAGGAC
RNAcentral lists this non-coding RNA (79 nucleotides) under uncultured Acetatifactor sp. Lineage: Bacteria; Bacillati; Bacillota; Clostridia; Lachnospirales; Lachnospiraceae. The record is from RNAcentral.